AAGUCUGAUAUUAACGCAGACAGUGGAUGCCUUGGUACAAGUUGCCGAAGAAGGACGCACAUGGUUGCGAUAAGCGUCGGGAAGCUGCCACGAAGCUAUGAUCCGACGGUGUCCGAAUGGGGAAACCUAAUCCCACUAAACGGGAUUGUUUACACUCAAAGUUUGUGCCUUCGGGUACGAUAUAAAGUGUAAAACGGAGACCACCUGAACUGAAACAUCUAAGUAAGGUGAGGAAGAGAAAUCAACUGGCCUCGCUUGACGCAAGUCUAAGCGGGCGAGAUUGCCUUAGUAGCGGAGAGCGAAACGGUAAGAGCCCAAACCGCUCCGAUCCUUCGGGAUUGGAACGGGGUUGUAGGACUUCGACAUGGGAUUGUAUUUGGUAGAAGAAUAGCUUGGAAUAGCUAACCAUAGAAAGUGAAAGUCUUGUAAGCGAAAUCAAAUACAACCCUAGGAGUAUCCUGAGUACCCCGAUACAAGUAUAUCGGGGGAAGCUGGGGGAUCCAUCCUCCAAGGCUAAAUACAACUUGUGACCGAUAGUGAACUAGUACCGUGAGGGAAAGGCGAAAAGAAGGGCGGGACGCCCAGUGAAAUAGAACCUGAAACUGUUUGCGAACAAACCGACAGAGCUGUGUACAGCUCUGAACUAUUAACUUUUAACAAAUUUACAAAUUAACUAAAUAUUUUUCCGAGUUAAUUGUUAACUGUCAAUUUGUUAAUAGCUUUGCGCUGUACAUGGUAAUGUCGUGCCUAUUGAAGAAUGAGCCGGCGAGUCAUUGCGUAGCGCAUAGUCUAAGUUAGCAUAAGCUGACGAAGACGUAGGGAAACCGAGUCUGAAAAGGCGAUUAGUGCUACGUGAUGGACCCGAAACCGGGUGAUCUAUCCAUGAGCAGGGUGAGUCCCGACGAAGGUCGGGAGGAGGCCCGAACCGUUGUGAGUUGCAAUUCGCUCGGAUGACUUGUGGAUAGGGGUAAAAUGCCAAUCGAACCCGGAGAUAGCUGGUUCUCCCCGAAAGGUCUAUAGGGACCGUGGUCAUGUAAACUUAUGGGUGGUAGAGCUACUGAAUGGGCUAGCGAGAGGUAACUCAAGUUAGCUCAACCAAACUCCGAAUAACCAUAAGAGAUCCGUGACUAGACAGUCUCAUCGGGCUAAGCUGAUGAGGCAAAAGGGAAACAUCCCAGACUCUCAGCUAAGGCCUCUAAAUCGUCCAUCCUACGUCCGCUUUGCGGACUACGGAGGACCCUCCAUAGCCUUGUGCGAAGGAGGGCAACUAAGUUUGAAAGGAAGUCGUAAACCUAAGACAGCCAGGAGGUUGGCUUAGAAGCAGCCACCCUUUAAAGAAAGCGUAACAGCUCACUGGUUAAGGUUUGCGGCGCCGAAAAUUUAUCGAGGAUAAGUUGCGUGCCGAAGCUAGAGGUGUAGCGAAGCUACACAACUAUUAACAGUUGACCAAUUAACCAAUUGACAACGAUUGACAAUUAACCAUUCGUUAAUUUGUGAAUUUUGUUAAAUGUUAAUUUGUGAAUUUUGUUGAUGGUUGCGUAGCUUUGCUACGCGGUAGGGGAGCGUUCCACCGUUAGUGAAGUCACACUGUAAAGUGUGGUGGAAAUUGUGGAAGUGAGAAUGCCGGCAUGAGUAGCGUACUAGAGAGGUGAGAAUCCUCUCCACCGAAUACCCAAGGUUUCCGUCGCGAGGUUCGUCCUCGACGGGUUAGUCGGUACCUAAGACGAGGCCAAAACGGCGUAGUCGAUGGACAACUGGUCAAAAUUCCAGUACUUACCUUGAAUCGCCAACGUCGUGCAUGGCACGAAGGACGUAAGGAUUAAAAGAAUAAGUGAUAAGUCUUAAGAGAAAAGCCUUAUUUGUUAUAUUUUGUAUUUAUUGUUUUUUGGAGACUAUUCAUUUAUUACUUUAUAUUUUUAUUUCUUUCGCGCUGUGUGCGAUGAGCUGGGGGCUGACUGAACAGGAUGUAUGAUGUCCCGAUGUGAUAUCGGGAUGUAAGUUGCAAGAUAGUGGCAGCAGGAAAAUCCGCUGAAACGAUUAAUCAAGCAAUAAUGCAAACCCUAGUCAUUGAUUGGGGGAUUUCAUCACAUUCAGUUCACAAGAAAAGGCUCGCAGUGAGAUUCAAGAUAAGCCGUACCGCAAACCGACACAGGUGGGUUGGUCGAGAAGACUAAGGUGAGCGAGAGAAAGAGGUUCAAGGAAUUCGGCAAAAAAACUGGACGUAAGUUCGCAAGAUGUCCUGCCAUGUACCAUGCGCAAGCUUAGGUACGUGGUUGCAACAAAAGAUUGCUAAUCGACUGUUUAUCAAAAACACAGGUCCGUGCAAAGGCGAAAGCCAAAGUAUACGGGCUGACGCCUGCCCAGUGCCGGUAAGUUAAGGGGAUCGGUGCGUAGCACCGAGGAUAUUAGGAUUUCAAGAUGAUAGUGAGUAGUCAAAUUUUUUUAAGACUAUUCACUAAAAUCCUAUCAUCUUAGUAUCUUCAGUGCUACGCGCUGUGAACUGAAGCUCCGGUAAACGGCAGCAGUAACUAUGAAAUAGUCGUAGUUCUAAAACCUAGUCAUGUACCAGAAUAAAUACGAUACAUGAUGGUGAACUGAACUUUGUUAUAGUUCACCACUAUAUGCUGGAAUAUCCGUACUGUAGUUAAUUUCAAGUAGAAUGAACUUAACGAACAGUUGAAGUAUCUGACGCUACCAUUUAAAAUGGUAACAAUGCGUUCAGUGCGGACAAUCAGCAGGAAAGGCCUUCAAAAAUUUCUAAUUACUAAUUUCUAAUUAACCUAAAUAAUUACCCAAUUUUGAAAUUAAUAAAUUGGUGCUUUUUUAGAAAUUAGAGCAAUUAGGUCAAUUAGUUAUUAUUGAGGGAAUCCCCAGAGACUAUACGCUAGGGUACAUCCGUUUACGAAUGUACAUGAUAUAGUCCGACCCCUAUAGCGAUAUAGGGAACCGUAAUCAAUCGGUCUAAAGUAACAAUGUGAACUGUUCUACGGUAGCGAAGUUCCUUGUCGGGUAAGUUCCGACGCGCACGAAUGGCGUCACGAGUUAGCAACUGUCUCGAGCCUCUACUCGGCGAAAUUGCGGUGGCUGUGAAGACGCGGCCUACUUCCACCAGGACAAAAAGACCCCGUGGAGCUUUACUGUAGCUUGGCAUUGUCUUGUGCGUGUCAAUUGUUUAGCGUAGGAGGGAGCUUGUGCUUUGCACAAAGGAUGUUAGGAUUUUAGAAUGAUAGUGAGCAGUCAAAAACAAAAAAAGACUAUUCACUGAAAUCCUGUCAUCUUAUCAUCUUUCGCGCAGAGCGCGAGCAUCACUGAAACACCUCCCUUUGGGACGUGGCAAGACUGACCCAAUGAUCCUGCAUACGGAUCAGGAGACAGUGCUAGGUGGGCAGUUUUACUGGGGCGGUACCCUGCCAAAGAGUAACGCAGGGGCACAAAGGUUGGCUUAGUACGGAUGGACAUCGUACCUAAAUGUGUAAAGGCAUAAGCCAGCUUGAUAGUGAGAGCUACGGCUCGAGCUAGUGCGAAAGCAGGUCUUAGUGAUCCUCCGCAACCUAUUGGACAGGUUCGGAGCUUAACGGAUAAAAGCUACCCCGGGGAUAACAGAGUAGUCGCACCCGAGAGUCCAUAUCGACGGUGCGGUUCGCUACCUCGAUGUCGGCUCAGCGCAUCCUGGGGCUGGAGAAGGUCCCAAGGGUCGGUCUGUUCGCCCGUUAAAGCGCUACGUGAGCUGGGUUCAGAACGUCGUAAGACAGUUGAUCCCGAUGACAUAUCGGGAUGACAAUGAGCUGUCUUUCCUAUUGAUAUUUUGAACCUUUCAAUUGAACUGUGAAAAAGAGAACUCUGUAAAUAUAGGAUCCCAACCAGUUGGGAAUAAAUCUAGCUAUAUGCUGGAAACUCCGAGAAUCUUGUGCUACCUUAAAUUAAGGUGAUAAAGCAACAAGUGCGGACAAUCAGCAGGAAAGGUCAAAUAGGUUUAAUUAAAUUUAUUAAAAUCGGAUUAAUAUUAGUUGUAUUUUACUUAAUUGUAGAUUGGAUAUUGAAUAGGAUAAGUGGUCCAAACGAAUUAUCUGAUCUCGCUUUAAGAAAGAUGACUUCAAUUUUAAUCUUGUGGAUUAUAAUGUAUUUUGUUUACAAAAUAGUUCAUAGAAUUUACAAAUCUUAACCUUUUUGAAAUCCUCAACGACUAUACGCCAGACCCUGAGUUAAUCGAAGGGAAGAUAUAGUCUGAUCUCCAUGGCGACAUGGAGGGUUGAAGAAUCGUUCAGCCGUAAAAACAGACGUAAUUUCAUUUUUAAUUUUCAACUGUAAUUUUGCAUUUUGAAUUUUAAAUUUUGAUUUAAUAAUGUCGGACUCUAUCCGGUGGAAGCGUUCGAGUCUUGAAGGGAGCUGGCCUCAGUACGAGAGGACCAGGCUGGGGGAAUCCCUGGUGUGCCGGUUGUCGCGUCAGCGGCAACGCCGGGUAGCUACAUUCCCACGGGAUAACCGCUGAAAGCAUCUAAGUGGGAAGCCCACCCUAAGAUUAGGACUCGUGUCGUGCAGAGCACGAAGGAUACAAGGAUUAAAGAUUAAAGGAAUAAAUGAUAAGUCAAAGGACUAUUCACUAAUUCUUUUAGUCCUUAUUCUUGUGUUUUUCGCGCUUUGCGCGACGAAGACCCCGAGAAGAAGACUCGGUAAUUCCGGCAGGCGGUGGAAGCCCUGUAAAGGGUUAAGCCUACCUGAUUCGGAUUGGUUGAUUUCAAACUUUU
Molecule: non-coding RNA, 4745 nt
Organism: Candidatus Woesebacteria bacterium
Lineage: Bacteria; Candidatus Woeseibacteriota
Source: Rfam